RNAcentral lists this ribosomal RNA (301 nucleotides) under uncultured bacterium. RNAcentral's name for it is "partial 16S ribosomal RNA". It matches the Rfam family "Bacterial small subunit ribosomal RNA", at positions 509 to 807 of the family's 1533-position model. The record is from RNAcentral.
CAGUCGCCGCGGGAAUACGUAGGGUGCGAGCGUUAAUCGGAAUUACUGGGCGUAAAGCGGGCGCAGACGGUUACUUAAGCAGGAUGUGAAAUCCCCGGGCUCAACCUGGGAACUGCGUUCUGAGCUGGGUGACUAGAGUGUGUCAGAGGGAGGUAGAAUUCCACGUGUAGCAGUGAAAUGCGUAGAGAUGUGGAGGAAUACCGAUGGCGAAGGCAGCCUCCUGGGAUAACACUGACGUUCAUGCCCGAAAGCGUGGGUAGCAAACAGGAUUAGAUACCCCAGUAGUCCCUGUCUCUUAUAC